UACGUAGGGUGCAAGCGUUGUCCGGAAUUAUUGGGCGUAAAGAGCUCGUAGGCGGUUUGUCGCGUCUGCUGUGAAAACGCGAGGCUCAACCUCGCGCCUGCAGUGGGUACGGGCAGACUAGAGUGCGGUAGGGGAGAUUGGAAUUCCUGGUGUAGCGGUGGAAUGCGCAGAUAUCAGGAGGAACACCGAUGGCGAAGGCAGCUCUCUGGCCUAUAACUGACGUGAGGUGCGAAAGCGUGGGGAGCGAACGGG
This 252-nucleotide ribosomal RNA is filed under the name uncultured bacterium. RNAcentral describes it as "partial 16S ribosomal RNA". It matches the Rfam family "Bacterial small subunit ribosomal RNA", at positions 524 to 776 of the family's 1533-position model. The record is from RNAcentral.